RNAcentral lists this ribosomal RNA (385 nucleotides) under uncultured bacterium. Its description in RNAcentral is "bacterial SSU rRNA". It matches the Rfam family "Bacterial small subunit ribosomal RNA", at positions 28 to 416 of the family's 1533-position model. The record is from RNAcentral.
GACGAACGCUGGCGGCGUGCCUAACACAUGCAAGUCGAACGGAGUUGUUCCUUCGGGGACAACUUAGUGGCGAACGGGUGAGUAACGCGUGAGGAACCUGCCUUUCAGUGGGGGACAACAGUUGGAACGACUGCUAAUACCGCAUAAUGUAUUUGAGUGGCAUCACUUAAAUACCAAGAUUAUUGCUGAAAGAUGGCCUCGCGUCUGAUUAGCUAGUUGGUGAGGUAACGGCUCACCAAGGCGACGAUCAGUAGCCGGUCUGAGAGGAUGAACGGCCACAUUGGGACUGAGAUACGGCCCAGACUCCUACGGGAGGCAGCAGUGGGGAAUAUUGGGCAAUGGGGGGAAACCCUGACCCAGCAACGCCGCGUGAAGGAAGAAGGCC